UACGUAGGGGGCAAGCGUUGUCCGGAUUUAUUGGGCGUAAAGAGCUCGUAGGCGGUCUGUCGCGUCGGAUGUGAAAACCCAGGGCUCAACCCUGGGCCUGCAUUCGAUACGGGCAGACUAGAGUACGGCAGGGGAGACUGGAAUUCCUGGUGUAGCGGUGAAAUGCGCAGAUAUCAGGAAGAACACCCGUGGCUAAGGCGGCUCUCUAGUACGGUACUGACGCUGAGACGCGAAAGCGUGGGGAGCGAACAGG
RNAcentral lists this ribosomal RNA (253 nucleotides) under uncultured bacterium. RNAcentral describes it as "partial 16S ribosomal RNA". It matches the Rfam family "Bacterial small subunit ribosomal RNA", at positions 524 to 776 of the family's 1533-position model. The record is from RNAcentral.